RNAcentral lists this ribosomal RNA (312 nucleotides) under Triticum aestivum (bread wheat). RNAcentral describes it as "partial small subunit ribosomal RNA". Lineage: Eukaryota; Viridiplantae; Streptophyta; Magnoliopsida; Poales; Poaceae. The record is from RNAcentral.
AUGGGCCAUCCGCCUUCUCAGGGCCGAGACACUGGCCCUCUCCAUCACACGCACCAAGCUCUGUCUUCUCUUCCUUGGAUUCCUCUCCUCAUCCACACAGCCCCCAUUCCCCUCCCACCCCUCUCCCUGUCCACCCCUGCCUCUCUCCACUCUCUCUCCUUAUCUGCUUACAGCUCCUUCAAGUUCGAUGCUGCUCCAACCGCACCAGAUCCCUGGAUAGCCACAUCCUCCGACGAGUCUCCGCAGUGCUAUGCUAUUUCCCAGGUUUUCGGUCUAUUUGAGUGUUCCACAAAGCCGGCCAGGAGAUACUAG